This 505-nucleotide ribosomal RNA is filed under the name Colletotrichum cf. gloeosporioides ROG-2010. RNAcentral describes it as "eukaryotic LSU rRNA". The stretch from base 178 to 331 matches the Rfam family "5.8S ribosomal RNA". The record is from RNAcentral. Lineage: Eukaryota; Fungi; Ascomycota; Sordariomycetes; Glomerellales; Glomerellaceae.
CAUUACUGAGUUUACGCUCUAUAACCCUUUGUGAACAUACCUAUAACUGUUGCUUCGGCGGGUAGGGUCUCCGCGACCCUCCCGGCCUCCCGCCUCCGGGCGGGUCGGCGCCCGCCGGAGGAUAACCAAACUCUGAUUUAACGACGUUUCUUCUGAGUGGUACAAGCAAAUAAUCAAAACUUUUAACAACGGAUCUCUUGGUUCUGGCAUCGAUGAAGAACGCAGCGAAAUGCGAUAAGUAAUGUGAAUUGCAGAAUUCAGUGAAUCAUCGAAUCUUUGAACGCACAUUGCGCCCGCCAGCAUUCUGGCGGGCAUGCCUGUUCGAGCGUCAUUUCAACCCUCAAGCUCUGCUUGGUGUGGGGCCCUACAGCUGAUGUAGGCCCUCAAAGGUAGUGGCGGACCCUCCCGGAGCCUCCUUUGCGUAGUAACUUUACGUCUCGCACUGGGAUCCGGAGGGACUCUUGCCGUAAAACCCCCCAAUUCUCCAAAGGUUGACCUCGGAUCA